GACAGAGGUCCCGAGCGUUAGGCGGAAUCACUGGGCUUAAAGCGUGUGUAGGCGGACUUGUAAGUACCUUGUGAAAUCCCACGGCUUAACCGUGGAACUGCUUGGUAUACUGCUUGUCUUGGGCCACUUAGGGGCUACCGGAACAAACGGUGGAGCGGUGAAAUGCGUAGAUAUCGGAAGGAACGCCGGUGGCGAAAGCGGCGCGCUGGACCUCUACUGACGCUGAGGCGCGAAAGCCAGGGGAGCGAACGGG
RNAcentral lists this ribosomal RNA (253 nucleotides) under uncultured bacterium. Its description in RNAcentral is "partial 16S ribosomal RNA". It matches the Rfam family "Bacterial small subunit ribosomal RNA", at positions 524 to 776 of the family's 1533-position model. The record is from RNAcentral.